This 8680-nucleotide long non-coding RNA is filed under the name Sus scrofa (pig). RNAcentral's name for it is "lncRNA (ENSSSCG00055026609.1)". Lineage: Eukaryota; Metazoa; Chordata; Mammalia; Artiodactyla; Suidae. The record is from RNAcentral.
GGAUCCUUAACCCACUGAGCAAGGCCAGGGAUCGAACCCGCAACCCCAUGGUUCCUAAUCGGAUUAGUUAGCCACUGAGCCACGACGGGAACUCCACAUAUAUUCUUAAUGUUAGCUUCAGGACAACUCAAGAUAAGACAAUAAUCUUUUAUUAUUCCCAUUUUUCAGAACAAUAAAGUAAUGUUAAUGAUAGUAGGUAAAACUGUCAGGUUAACAACUCUAAGUUUAGAGUUUUUAUCACUAUAUGCCUGGUAAUUUCAUGGUGCUUUACAUUUUCAAAGAAGAAUCCAGAUUUUUGUUAACAUGCUCCCAAAAGUUCUAACAAAAUAUUAGGUAUCACACCACACACAUAUCUCAUCAUACACAUAUGUAUAUAUAAUUUACUACUAAUUAAUAAGCAAUUUAAUAGUUUUUAAGGGCUUCUGUCCACACCCAGUUAGCAGAUCUUAGCAAUACUCUCCAAAGAAGUUAUGCCAGGUAGUAGAAUGCCCAUUUCCAGAUGAGGAAAUAGGGACUAGGAGAGAUUGUAACUCUUUACACUGUCUUUACAGUGUGAUGAAGAGCAAUGAUGUGUGCACCUGGGCUGUGGGUCCAGACCUAUAACAACCAGCAGAGUAACUUUAGGUAAGUCAUCCAACCUCUCUGAGCUUUGCCUUCCUUCUAGGACAAUUACAGAAGGUGAGUCACUCACAGAUACCAUUUAACCCGUAAAAGUCUUAUCAGUCUGCAGCUCAGCUAAUUCAGUAGAUGGUCUAAGCCCUAGCUCUUCUUUGCCCCUUCCCAUGCUGUACUGCCUCUUAGGAAAUCUCACUAUGCUCUCCCAACUGAAGAGUUAAUUUCAUUUGUUUUUUGUUUAUCUUUAUAAAGAACUGGGCCCUGUUUAUCCUUUGGUUCCUGGGCUUAUGUACAGCCAGUAAAAACAUUCCUCUACCAGAAAGGCUGGUGAGACAGAGGUGUGCAGGCACAGGGGGUCCAGGGCAAAGGGCGUGUCCUCCUGUGACCUCCUCUCACUGCACUGCCACGCUCUCACUUCAGGGAUGGCAGGUGUGUGUUUGUUUUCAUGGCUCUUGCUAUCUUUUUGUUUUUGUUCUUCAAAGAAACAGUCCAAAACUCAAGGUUGAUAGGAAAGACAGGUUCCUACUUCCAGGUCCAGGAACAGGGUCACAAUUAAUUUAAUGCUAUUUAAGUGGUCCAACCCAAAACCUUCCUAUCGUGAAGAAGGGGGCAAGUUCAGAAGUCGUGGGUGAGGGCACCCAGCUAGAGGUGGGGACUCCAUUGCAAAGAAUCACACAGACUCCCUCUGCUGACAUAAAGAAAGUUCUCCUACAUCCUUGCUGAGGUAGGUGCCAGAGAAAUAAGCAACCUGACCCCCUGAAGAGUCUUCGGAGCCUGGCAGUAACCUGAGCUGCUCUAGGUUAUUUUUGCUGAGGGCUAGUGGUUCUUAAAGGGACUGUGCUCUGGGCGCCCCUAUCCAGACACAGAACACAAAUCAAUGAAAAGACCAAUGUGACGUGGUCACCUAAGGCAGUUUAUUGGAUGUAUGGACUAGAUCAGUAAGGUGUGUGAGCAAAUAUUUUCAUCCCCUUUCAAGGGGAUCGAUUGUAAUACCCUGUGUUAUAAUAUGAUUGGUUUCAAACAUGGAAGUGCUGAAUAACACAGCACCCCAUUGGUUUAAAAUGGAAAAGGAAAGCAGGCAUGCCCCAAGGCUCUGUCCUCAGCGCCAGGCUGCUACUUAAGAAGGGAGUGGGGAGGAGAGAUUAGAGAUGGGGGUGGCUACCAGGGCUGUGCUCGCCAGUCAUCAUCCCCAUUUAAAUGCUCCCUCCAAGCCUGACAGGUAUACCAACUGUACAAAGAAGGAAAGUGGGGCUCGGCAAGGCUUCCUAACACACGUCAGAGUUUCGUGAUGGGUGAGUGUUGGCCCCUUCCGCUAUGUCUACCUGAAUGGUGAAGAUUCCGAAAGCAAAUCCUCACCCCAUUCAAAAAACAAUUCUUGUGAAACAACCAGUCCUUUCAUUCUCUGUCCCACAUCCCUGAACUGGCCAGGGGGGGGAGCAGGAAUAAUCCAGUAACGAGGAAAGUGGGAUCCGGAGUCACAAGUGCCCAGGUUUGAAAACCUGCUUCACCACAAACUCACUGGGUGACCCUGGGCAAGUUGGUUAUACUCCUGGAGCCUCGGUGGCAGUAACAGUAAUACCUACAUCAUCAGGCUGUUUUGGAGAUUAAAUAAGAUACUCAUAUGCGUAGUGUACUUGGAAGCAUGCCUGGCACAUGGAACCCUUCAGUUAAAGGGUUGCUAUUAUUAGUUGCGUUAGUAUUCCUAUUCAGCAAGUGUGUAAUUCAAGUUGCCUUGAAAUCUGGCAAAGGAUAAUCAUGAGAAAAAUAACGUUCAGCUAGCUGUUGGGCAGGUCCUUAGCACACGUGAUCUCCAGUGCCCACAACUCUGCCAGGCAAGUUGAUGCUACUCCCCUCUGCAGACCAGGGGCACGAGGCUCACAGAGGUUUAGUGACUUGCCUGAGUCACAACUAGGAAGUGAUGGAGCAGGGGGUUGAACUCAAGGUCUGACUUCAAAGCCUGUACGCCUUCCACUCAAUUGAGAAACAGUCAGGGAAUAGAGAGCAGAGGGGAGCAUCCUAUUCCACAGCUGGUCAGCUCUUCCCUUAGGUCAGCCUCGUAACCUCUUUGUCCUGUUUCACCUUCCAGCUAUGAUUUGGGGUGGAGGAGUCUGAUUUCUGUAGCAAGUCGCCAUAUAUUAUUCAGCGACAGGUGAUUCAACAGAGAAUAAUAAAGCUCUCUGUAAUCUUAUUAAAACUACAUUAUUCUAAGUGCUAUCUCCCUUCCUCUAGGAAUCUUCACGACGACCCUAGGCACAGGGCUAAUUAUCUUGGAGAGCGAAGGGUGCCUUGAUAACUCACUGGCAUGAGCUGAUAUUCUGGAGGAAAAUAAAAUAAGCCAAUUUAAUUGUUUAUAGUAACAAUCCUGUUCUAUGAUCAAAAUUUAUCCCAAGUAACAUGUCCAACACAUUACAAUUUUUAAAUUUUUUUAAAAAAAUAAAAUGUAUUGCUACACUUUAAUUUUAAUAUUUGAAGAAGUUUGAAUUUAUAACCAGUUUGACUCUUCACAGACAAUAUCUUUUGAUAGUUUUCUCAUGCAGUCUUGCAUACUUCACAUUGUUUUUCACUUGUAAUCUUAAAAUCGCCACGGUUUUAUAUAACAUCCCUUGAAAGGUGCCUUAUAAAACAGAAAUUUAUAGACGGAUUUCUUCAGGACUCAAAUUCUUGUCUCUCUCCUUGCCCUCAUCAAACUUAUUUUAUCCUUAUCUUUUUUAUUUUCUAUUUUCCCUUUCUUGUUGUUUAUUUCGUUUCUUUUGUCACAAUGACAGGGUGGAGCAAUCUUAAAAAACUAGAAGCUCUUCUAUAGGUUUCUCAAAGCUGAGUCUACAGACAACCUACUUCAUUAUCUCCAGGGAGGGGUCCCCAAAUCUACAUUUUUAGCAAGCUGCCCUGGUGAACUGCACAGGCUGGGAUAUAUCAUAAGAUCUGUAAUCUGCUAAAUCCUAGAUACAGCUCAAUUCCUAGCCUUUUCAAUUGAGCAAUAUGCAUAUGCUAGUUUUAGCAAAACAUAAACUUCACUCUCUAGACCUCAGCUGAGAGCAUCACACAAUAUGCAUCUUAUGUACUAAAUUUAAACAAAAGAUUUUAGCACGCACUAUUAUUUAUUUCAGUGUGGAGCAAUGAGCAAACAAAAGAGGGUUGGAUCAAAUGAGGACUCCAAAUGGAUCUAAUGAAGACUUCCAACCUAAGUGCUUAAAGGGAUGUACCCCCCCCAUUGCAGUGGAGGUGUUUGAUGCAACAAAUCUUCACUUUCAGCAUCUUACUGAAGUGUAAAACCUCACCGCCUGUGUCCCUAUAUUUACGCUCAUUAUCUAAAACCAACAUAAAUUGAACCAACUAAGGACCAAUGGCUGAUACGAGAGGAAAACACUCAAAUGGAAUUUCUUCAAAAGUCUUCAUUUAAUGAAAAAGAUUUAUUGACUAAUAAUGCAGAAGAGAAGCUAAACCUCAACACGUGACAUCUUUUGAGAGGUGCUUGGCUUACGUAAGUGUUGAUCCUUUUCCACAACACCUUACAGGGAAGUCAGGUCUGUUGGGAUCAACAGGACAGGUUACUCUAGUCAAAGUCAUAAUAUCGCCUAACUUGUCACAUUUCCAGGCUGACAGACACCCAGUUCCUCAGCCCCUCCUUUCCAAUAGUUCAGGUGGGUGUUACCACCUCUGAAGGCACAGGUCAGUCCAGGCUUCCUCUAGAGGCAGCUCCAAGUGCUCCCCAUUUUCUUCAAUAUUAUCCAAUUUUUACAGAAAAAUGACUUUGCCUUCUCCUUCACAAAAGCCACAAAUAAAACAGAACAAAACAAUGAGUUUUUCAAGGAAAAAUUUCCUCCAUGUAUAGUCUCUAUGCAUUGACUCAGUAACACAGCUCCCUAGCUGCCCCUCUUUCUGCCCCAAAAAACAGAGCUGGGAGCACUCCGGUGGCUCCAGGAUCCCGCUGAAUCAGUGAUCACCAUUCCUCUACAUCAUCCAUCUUUCCCUGUCUGAUGACUCUUAUCUUGGCAGCACACAUAAAGAGGUCCACAUCUAUAUAAAAAGCUUUCUGGGUCCCACCUCUGUCUGUCUAUCAGCUCAUGCCUAUGCACAGCCAAGCUUUUGGAAAGAGUGGUCAAGAUUAUGAGGGCAAAAAUAUGACUAUAUUGUUCUCCUGUCUGAUUCCAAUGCUAGAAUAGUUCUUGGUAGGCCCCUAAGAAAUAAUUCUCAUUGUUUAAUACUGAUGCUUCAAAAAGGCAGAAAGCCCAAUAGAAAAGUGAACAAAAUACUGCAAUGGGCACUUUAUAAACAACAGCAUAAAAUAUCCAAAAACAUAUGACAAGGGGUUCAACGUCAUUAACCAUCAGAGAACUAAAAUUAAUACUACAAGUCUAUACCACUACAUAACAACCAGAAUGGUCAAAAUGAGAACGAUAAAAAUAUCACAGCAAGGUAGGGGCAAUGAGGACCCUCAUGCACAGCUGAAAGGCGUAUCAAUUGGCACAUGCAUUUUGAAAAAGUGUGUGGCUGUUAACUACUAACACUAAAUAUGUACAAGUGCUAAGAUCUACCAAUUCCAUCCCUGGGUAUACACUCAAUAAGCAUGUAAAACUAUUCACAGAAGCAUUAUUUGUAAUAGGCUGAAAACAAAACCCAAAUUCACCAAUGGCUGAAUGAAUAAACUGCAGUAAAUUCAUACAAUAAGAUCCUACACAGCAAUGAGACUGAAUGAUUCUUAGAUGCAAAACCAUGAAUCAAUGUUGCUAACAUACUGGUAAGUGAAAGAAGCCAGAAACAGCAGAAAACACAGCGUAUGAUUUCAUACAUAUAAGGUAUAAAAAUUGGCAAAAUCUAUAUAUUAGAAGUCAGCAGUUACCCUUGUGGUUGAAAAAGAAAUGAGAAAUGCCCUUAGAAUGCUAAUAAUGUCCAGAUUUUUUAUCUGCUUUUUAGUUCAUGAAAAUUCAUCAAACAGUAUAUUUCCUUUUAUGAAUACCUGUUAUAUCACACAGUUUUAAAAACCUGGACACAGUGAUUGGUCCCCAAUUCUUUCUUUAUUCAAAACACUCUUGAUUUCCUUCUCUGUGUCACCCUCAUAGAAGCUAAGAUCCUUGAGGCCAGAGACUAAUAAUCAUUUUCCGCUUUGGCUUCCUUAGUUCUUGCACAGAACUUGGCACACCAGCUCUCAACAAGUGAUUUUGGAUGAAUGAACGCACAUGCUGCCUCAGCCCCAUGGGUAAACUCAGUUCUUUUAUAUGCUCUUGACUCCAAAGCCCGCAUUUUCAGCCUCUCUCCUGGGCUGCAGGUUUCAGGACGGCCUGCAGAGCAUGGCAGUGGUCAUGAUCUGCCCUUUAUCUGAGAACUGGCUUUGAGUCAGGAGCUUUACAUAAUUAUCUUUUGCCCCUCACCAACUGACUUCAAGUUGGUAACAACUACCCCCCAGUUCACAGACCAGGGAAACUAAGGAUCCCAGAGGUUAUGUGACUUACCUAAAAUGACGCAGGUGAUCAAUCGUAGAAGUAAAAUUGAAACUCAGGUUCUUUCUGUUCCCCAAGCCAGUGAUCCUUCCAUAGACCACACAUGAUCAUAGACACAGCAAAUGUAAAACCCAGGUCACUGCUUUUCUCAAAGGCUCACCUUCCUGGGCAAUGCCAUCACCACUCACCCUGUGGUGCAACUAGAGUCCUGAGAACUGCCUUCUUCUUCCCUCAUCCUUCACACUGACUUAAGUCACUAGGACUGUUUCCUAAGCUUGAAAAUCCACCCUAGGCUCACUGUUCUGAAUAUCCCAGCGUAAGCUCAGGUCACUCGUUUUUUCUUUUGAAGAUUACUGUUAACUGUCUGCAAACUAUGCAGUAUUUUGCUGUCUGCACUUUACUGCAAACUGUGUCUCCCAAUUCAGACCUGGGUCCCUCUAUUUCAUGCUCAUGAUACUGCCUGACAGCUCUUGGUAAAAUGCAAAUGUGAACACGUCUCUCCUCCUUGCCCACAGGAUAAGGCUCCAACAUUCCAGCACGGCAAACCCUCCUUUACCUGGUCCCUGCCAAGCAUUCCAGAUCCUUCCCUGGUGAUGUCCUUUCUCCUCUCCCUCCACCCUGCAAUCCGGCCACACGAAGAUUUCCUGCUUGGUUCUCUGUCUUUGGGGCUUUGCAUGCCAGGGCUCUAGUUUCCUGGAAUGUUCUCCUGUGUUUAACUUGCAAGAUGCAGCUAAGGCAUAUACUCCUCUGUCAAGGCCCCCAACAGAGCUGAAUGAUUCCCUUUUAUAUCACAGCUAGGCUUUGUGUAUUUUCUCCUAUAUCCCAUUUCAUACUGUACUGCAAUAUUUUGCUGUCUGCACUCUACUUCCAGAAUGUUAACUUCUCAGGGAUAGACACAUGCCUGUUCUUUUCUGCAUCUCAUGCCAGCACACAAAAGUAAGGCAAAAAUAGUCAAAUAGUUUUAUAAUUAACAUAUGAAACUGACGGUAUGUGGGUAUAUGUCAGCUCAGUCACAGAUCAUUUACUUUUAAGAAUAAAACCAAGGAGUUCCCUGGUGGCUCAGUGGAUUAAGGAUCUAGUGUUGUCACUGCUGUGGCCCAGAUUCCAUCCCUGGCACUGGAACUUCCACAUGCCAUGGUCAUGGCCAGAAAAAAGGAGAAAGCCAAAAAGAUUGUCCCAAGCAGAAACAACAGGGGAAACAGAUCCUUUCUUUGUGUGAAGAAAGGAUAAGUGUGGCCCAAAGUUUAAGCUGAAAAGAUUGAGCUGCUGUGUCCUGGGGCAUAUAAGAUCCUCUGGCCUCUCAUCAAUAAUUUCCUCCUACCACCCCUCAGGCCAGCCAUGAUGCAGGGCAAGGAUUAUGCCCAGGAGUAAAAGGAAAAACAUAAAGAUCUGUAUUGAAGGGGCUAUUUCAUGGAUUCCAAAUCUCUGAACCUAUAAUGCAGAGAAUCAUUCAAAUUCUAUCUCAAAAGUUACAUGGUACAAAAAGGGCCUAAGACUUAGUGAUUAUUCUCAGAGCUAACCAAGAUAGAGGAGAACAUUUGAUUUAUUCCAUGGAUGAACUACUCUGAAGCACACCAGGUUGUUCUAUCAUUUCUGAAAUGCAGGACAAGAAAUGGACCUGUGAUAGAGUCAGGCUGGGAAGUUACCACUUUAAGUGAAGAAGCUCAGCAGAGGAUUGGGGGGAUUGAAGAAGAUGAGCAUGGUUGUGAGGUGCAAGAGAGAGAAGGGACUUGAAGCUUCAUGGUUGAGACAGAGGCCAAGUCACUGUGGGCAGGGAUUCUUAAUUCACCAAUCACGCCACGCCACCCCCGGGCCCUUAGGUGGACACCAGAUGACAGCCAGAAAGCUGGCCUCCCCACAAAGGAGGAAGCUAGUUACAGCUUUCAGGGAGAAACCCUCUCCACCCCACCCCCACCCGCACCUCCCCACUCCAUGAAGACUGCAGUUCAAAGGCUCUCCCUGGAAAAAAGAAGAUGGAAAGAAGCAGCCAAAUACCCCUGGAGACCCACAGAAAAGCAACACCUCUGUUGAUAUUCCAAAAAAGAGAAAGGGGGAGGAGCCUUGAACUGGAGGAGUCUUAAACCAGCAUUGUUUAAUUGCCUUUUCUUGCUUCCUUUCCAAAGAGAGGAGGGAGGUGGGUGACGGCAGCCUGAUCACGUAAAAGACCAGAGGGCAGCCGACAUGAACUUCUAUCUGGCCUCCAUACACAAAGGCCGUAUUAUAACACACACAUAAAAAUAUGUGGGCAAGACUCAGAAGGCUGGUGCCUGAUCACACCCCUCCUCCGGCCCCAAACUCACUCCCAACCCCGUGCUUUGAAUGCAUUUGUGUACACACACCCUCUGACAGGACACGUUUGUCAUGUUGCCAUGGAGCUGACAUCUCUGUAGUUUCGAUGGAGGGAUCACCCUGCUUUUCCACCUCCAAAGGCAGAGGUACGAAUCACACAUUAACUCCAGCAGUCUUCCAGAUUUUUGGUGGCUUGUCUCCUCCGUGUUCACAUGAACCCUUCGUUUGUUUGUUUUUUUUUUUUAACUUAUUCUCUGUAAGGCUGCCACAGUGGAAGCUGCAGGCACACUGAUUCCUGUUUCUGUAAUAUCAGUAUGCAGGGCACAUGUGCGAUCUGG